AAUCCAUAGGUUAAUGAGGCGAACCGGGGGAACUGAAACAUCUAAGUACCCCGAGGAAAAGAAAUCAACCGAGAUUCCCCCAGUAGCGGCGAGCGAACGGGGAGGAGCCCAGAGCCUGAAUCAGCAUGUGUGUUAGUGGAAGCGUCUGGAAAGGCGCGCGAUACAGGGUGACAGCCCCGUACACAAAAGCGCAUGUGCUGUGAGCUCGAUGAGUAGGGCGGGACACGUGGUAUCCUGUCUGAAUAUGGGGGGACCAUCCUCCAAGGCUAAAUACUCCUGACUGACCGAUAGUGAACCAGUACCGUGAGGGAAAGGCGAAAAGAACCCCGGCGAGGGGAGUGAAAAAGAACCUGAAACCGUGUACGUACAAGCAGUGGGAGCACAGGUUUACCUGUGUGACUGCGUACCUUUUGUAUAAUGGGUCAGCGACUUAUAUUCUGUAGCAAGGUUAACCGUAUAGGGGAGCCGCAGGGAAACCGAGUCUUAAU
This 488-nucleotide ribosomal RNA is filed under the name Salmonella enterica. RNAcentral's name for it is "partial 23S ribosomal RNA". It matches the Rfam family "Bacterial large subunit ribosomal RNA", at positions 161 to 688 of the family's 2925-position model. The record is from RNAcentral. Lineage: Bacteria; Pseudomonadati; Pseudomonadota; Gammaproteobacteria; Enterobacterales; Enterobacteriaceae. RNAcentral also lists the same sequence under 1 other name.